CUGUGCGCGAGGCGCUCCACUCCUUCCGCCGACGCUCUGAGAUAUUCAGAUUGACUUGCGGUCGGCUCCGUUUACGUGUGUCGCUGGUCGAUAUUAUUGCACAUUUGCUAAAUGUCCCGUUGAAUACCGAAAGUAUAGCAACAUCAAAAUUUAGCCGCAUAAUAGGUUUCUCGUCCUACCGUUCGCCAGCCAUUGAGAUUAAUGUCUCGUCCGUUUUCAUUAUCUUUAUAAAUGUCAUGAUGUCAUGUAACGAAGACUAUAUUACUCCAGAUGAAAUUAAGAACGCACUGGAGUUGUUGGACAAAGAAGAAAUUUCUUCAAAAAAACGUUUGGAAGCAUUUUCCAACCGAUGGCACACUGUUAUUAGUGAUGUUGAUUUGGUUACUAAACAGUUUAGCUCUUUAAACUCACUUCAAGAAAACCUUUCUCAAGUUCAAACUAGAAUUCUUGAUUCUUCUAAACUUGCCGAGGACAUAUCUUCUAAAGUUCGGCAGUUGGAUAAAAUUCGAGGACGUGUGUCGGAGUGUCAAAAACGAGUUCAAGAUUUAUUAGAUCUGCAACUAUGUAGCGAAGGUGUUCAAAUCGCAAUGAAAAAUGAUGAAUUGGAGCAAGCUGCUGCUCACGUACAUCGGUAUCUGUCGAUCGACCAAACAAAAUUGCAGCGCACAGCAGACGACAUGGCCCAAGAUUGUUCAAUGAUCACAAGCGCUCUGAAACACUUGCAGGACGCUACAGAGCUUCUUCAAGAAACCGUGUCAAAAAGGUUUGAACAUGCAUCUUUAGUCCAAGACUCGAGAUCUAUAGAAAGGUAUUUCAAAAUCUUUCCACUGCUCGGCAUGCACGAUGCGGGUUUGGAAAAGUUCGUUGAUUAUCUCGGACGCGUGUUGAAAGCUACAGCCGACAAAAGUUUGAAAAACGUCACGGAUACGUCGUUGUCGAACAAUCGGGCUAGUAUUAUUUUCGCCGACGGGUUAACAUUCGUUUUCGAAGAAGUGGCUAAAACGAUAGAGGUUCAACAACCGCUGAUCGAAACCCACUACGGUCCCGAGUACAUUGUUAAGUUCUUGUCCCGUUUGCAAGCCCACUGUGACGUUUUCAGUAACAGUGUGUUGCAGGCGUUUCUGAAAAGGCGAAGAAUAAGAGAGCUACUGAAAACGAUGCGCGAUGAGUGUGACGUGAACGUGGAGAAACCCGAUUCCAAAGAUAUCGACUUACUGGUCGAAGAAAUCGUGUUGAUCUUGGCCCGUUACGAUCUGUACUCGAAGUUCGUGCGCAAACGUGUCAACGGCGACCUGGAGUCGAAGACUUCCGGCGCCAAGUCGAUACUGGACGACAGCAAGCUGUGCUGCUCGGUGCAGGAGUUGAUGGGCAAGUAUCUGGAGUUUGAGAGAUAUUACAUGGAAGAGAGUAUCAAGAAAGCGGUGGAGAUGGACACGAUCGAGGGGGACGAAGACGCGGACGCGGUCACAUCGAGCCUGGUGGACGAUGUGUUCUUCAUCGUGCGCAAGUGCGUGAUGCGCUCGCUGAGAUCGGGCAGCUUGGACGUGCUGUGCGCGGUCAUCAACAACGCGGUGAAUGCGCUGGAGACCGACAUGUGCACGUUCUUCGGACGGACGCUUAGCGCCGGGUACCCGGGCUCCGGUUACUUCAACCGGUUCACUCCGGACCUGGAGAAGGUCCGGCAGUCGUUCCUGGCUGCGCUGAACAACACCGAGGUGGCUGUCGAGUACUCCAAGUCGCUGUCCCAGGCGUUCCGGGAGGAGAUACCGCUGAAGCUGGUCGGUUGCAACACCGACAAGCUGGAAAGCUGCCUGCACGACUUCUCUCGCGUGAACGCGUCGCUGGUGGCCUCCAACAAGAACGGAUUCAGGCAGCUGCAGAGUUCACUGGUCGAGCCCAAGCUGCUGGUCUGGAUGGAACCGUUCUACGAGCAGAACUACAAGAUGUCCGAGUCCGAGUUCGCGCAGGCUGAGGCGGACAAUCCGUUCGUGCAGACGCUCGUGCUGAACAUCGACACCAUGUUCAGGGAGUUCAAGACGAAGCUGACCACCAACAACUACAACAACAUGGUGGUGGUCGUGGCCGAGGAGUCCGCGCUUCAACUGGAGAAAGCCGUGAUGAAGACGGAGUUCAACCGGCUGGGCAGUAUGGCCCUGGACAAGGUGGUCCGCACGCUCAUCAACUACUUCAGCGGCGCCAGCGUGUGGCCGAGCAGGGAGAAGUUCGCGCGGCUGGUCCAGGUCACGACCGUCUUGAAUUUGGAACGCGUAUCCGACCUGAACGAGUUUUUGAACCCCGACAGCGGCAUGCGGUUCUCGUGGAAGUUGACGCCCGACACUAUUAGGCAGAUAUUGAAGUUACGUGUCGAUUUCAGAGAGGACGACAUAAGAAAAAUUAAACUGUAGACAUAUGCGCCACAUGCUUCUGUGCAGUAGUAAUGUGUACCAGUAUUUACCAGCAAGUCAAGGAGUGGUAUACCAGGUGCCUGAACAGUGAUGCAGCGGGGCCCAGCCCAAUUGAGUUCUGUGUCAGACCUGUACGUUAGUGACGAAAUAUCGG
Molecule: unclassified non-coding RNA, 2559 nt
Filed under: Sipha flava (yellow sugarcane aphid)
Lineage: Eukaryota; Metazoa; Arthropoda; Insecta; Hemiptera; Aphididae
Description: exocyst complex component 6, transcript variant X1
Source: RNAcentral